AGUGAACGCUGGCGGUAGGCCUAACACAUGCAAGUCGAACGGCAGCACAGUAAGAGCUUGCUCUUACGGGUGGCGGGUGGCGGACGGGUGAGGAAUACAUCGGAAUCUACUUUUUCGUGGGGGAUAACGUAGGGAAACUUACGCUAAUACCGCAUACGACCUACGGGUGAAAGCAGGGGAUCUUCGGACCUUGCGCGAUUGAAUGAGCCGAUGUCGGAUUAGCUAGUUGGCGGGGUAAAGGCCCACCAAGGCGACGAUCCGUAGCUGGUCUGAGAGGAUGAUCAGCCACACUGGAACUGAGACACGGUCCCGACUCCUACGGGAGGCAGCAGUGGGGAAUAUUGGACAAUGGGCGCAAGCCUGAUCCAGCCAUACCGCGUGGGUGAAGAAGGCCUUCGGGUUGUAAAGCCCUUUUGUUGGGAAAGAAAAGCAGCAGGUUAAUACCCCGCUGUUCUGACGGUACCCAAAGAAUAAGCACCGGCUAACUUCGUG
This 492-nucleotide ribosomal RNA is filed under the name uncultured bacterium. RNAcentral's name for it is "partial 16S ribosomal RNA". It matches the Rfam family "Bacterial small subunit ribosomal RNA", at positions 29 to 507 of the family's 1533-position model. The record is from RNAcentral.